Molecule: ribosomal RNA, 446 nt
Filed under: uncultured bacterium
Lineage: Bacteria
Description: bacterial SSU rRNA
Rfam family: Bacterial small subunit ribosomal RNA
Source: RNAcentral
UCGUCAGCUCGUGUCGUGAGAUGUUGGGUUAAGUCCCGCAACGAGCGCAACCCUUGUCCCUAGUUGCUACGCAAGAGCACUCUAGGGAGACUGCCGGUGACAAACCGGAGGAAGGUGGGGAUGACGUCAAGUCCUCAUGGCCCUUAUGGGUAGGGCUUCACACGUCAUACAAUGGUCGGAACAGAGGGUCGCUAACCCGCGAGGGGGAGCCAAUCCCAGAAAACCGAUCGUAGUCCGGAUCGCACUCUGCAACUCGAGUGCGUGAAGCUGGAAUCGCUAGUAAUCGCGGAUCAGCAUGCCGCGGUGAAUACGUUCCCGGGUCUUGUACACACCGCCCGUCACACCAUGGGAGUGGGUUUUACCAGAAGUGGCUAGUCUAACCGCAAGGAGGACGGUCACCACGGUAGGAUUCAUGACUGGGGUGAAGUCGUAACAAGGUAGCCGUA